CUGACAUACACCCAAGACGACACAAAAGAGGAGCAAAAAGUGACCUACAUGCUGCCUUUUCACAAAAUGACCAAUCAGAUGAGGGUCUGCAUGUACUGACUGUGGGUACCAGGCGGCUCAUGAAUGCUGAGAUGCUGGGGCAGAUGGAGCGUCCCACGGGAGUGUGGGUGUUCCCAGAGUGCUCAGCAACGGACCCAGAAGUCAACCAGAAGCACUUCCAGUUCACUUCCAGGUUUUGGGAAGGAUGGGAUUCACAUACACCUUGUACCACUUUUCCUCCUCCUUUCUCUUCCCUGUGCACCCCCACCUCUGCUCCCCUGCUCUGGAUUAUCUCCAACAAGAAAAUUAACGUGAGCAACAGUUUGUCAGA
Long non-coding RNA from Alligator sinensis (Chinese alligator), 370 nucleotides. RefSeq lists it as uncharacterized. The transcript has 3 exons. Lineage: Eukaryota; Metazoa; Chordata; Crocodylia; Alligatoridae. The record is from RefSeq and is a predicted model, not a curated record.